AUUGAACGCUGGCGGCAGGCCUAACACAUGCAAGUCGAACGGUAACAGGAAGAAGCUUGCUUCUUUGCUGACGAGUGGCGGACGGGUGAGUAAUGUCUGGGAAACUGCCUGAUGGAGGGGGAUAACUACUGGAAACGGUAGCUAAUACCGCAUAACGUCGCAAGACCAAAGAGGGGGACCUUCGGGCCUCUUGCCAUCGGAUGUGCCCAGAUGGGAUUAGCUAGUAGGUGGGGUAGCGGCUCACCUAGUCUUCGAUGGAUAGGGGUUCUGAGAGGAAGGUCCCCCACAUUGGAACUGAGACACGGUCCAA
This 310-nucleotide ribosomal RNA is filed under the name uncultured bacterium. RNAcentral's name for it is "bacterial SSU rRNA". It matches the Rfam family "Bacterial small subunit ribosomal RNA", at positions 30 to 334 of the family's 1533-position model. The record is from RNAcentral.